Molecule: ribosomal RNA, 467 nt
Filed under: uncultured bacterium
Lineage: Bacteria
Description: bacterial SSU rRNA
Rfam family: Bacterial small subunit ribosomal RNA
Source: RNAcentral
GCCAGACUCCUACGGGAGGCAGCAGUGAGGAAUAUUGGUCAAUGGGCGCGAGCCUGAACCAGCCAAGUCGCGUGAAGGAUGACGGCCCUACGGGUUGUAAACUUCUUUUGUCAGGGAGCAAUUGAGUCCACGUGUGGGCUUAGCGAGAGUACCUGAAGAAAAAGCAUCGGCUAACUCCGUGCCAGCAGCCGCGGUAAUACGGGGGAUGCAAGCGUUAUCCGGAUUUAUUGGGUUUAAAGGGUGCGUAGGCUGUGAGGUAAGUCAGCGGUGAAAUGCCCCCGCUCAACGGGGUGAAGUGCCAUUGAUACUGCCUUGCUGGAAUGCGGAUGCCGUGGGAGGAAUGUGUGGUGUAGCGGUGAAAUGCAUAGAUAUCACACAGAACACCGAUUGCGAAGGCAUCUCACGAAUCCGCGAUUGACGCUGAUGCACGAAAGCGUGGGUAUCAAACAGGAUUAGAUACCCUAGUA